Molecule: long non-coding RNA, 533 nt
Organism: Nannospalax galili (Upper Galilee mountains blind mole rat)
Lineage: Eukaryota; Metazoa; Chordata; Mammalia; Rodentia; Spalacidae
Exons: 3
Source: RefSeq, a predicted model, not a curated record
UCCCUACUUCUGAGGGCUAGACUGAAUGGCGUGUCCUGGAUGCCACAGCCUUGUAUCCCUAGAACCCUAAAUCAGUUCCUUCCCGAGACAGUGUCCAGCUCAGCAUCUUCUUCAGAUUAUCUUAAUUGUAUGCCCUUACUAGGACACAUUUGAACAUCACAGAAGAAUACUUUAAAAAGAGGGACCGUCUCUAAUGGCAGGGAAGGUGUGACAGAAGACAGCAGAAGCGGGAAGCUAAGCAAUCACCUUUCAACCUCACAUGGGAAACAGGGUAACUGAAAGUGAGGUGAGACUCUAAACUCUCAAAGUGCCCCCCUCCCCCCAAAUGAUGUACUGCCUUCAACAUUGUGCCAGUCCUAAAAGCUCCACAACCUCUCCAAACAGUGCCACCAACUGGGAACCAAGUGCUCAGAUAAUGAGUCUGACAUUUCACAUUUAAGCCACUGCACUCCAGUCCCUGGCCCCCAUAGGCUCAUGGCUAUAUCAUAAUGCAGAAUGCGUUUAGUCCAACUCUAAAAAUUCUCCCACAGUCU